GAUGAACGCUGGCGGUAUGCUUAACACAUGCAAGUCGAACGGACUCUUCGGAGUUAGUGGCGGACGGGUGAGUAACGCGUGAGAAUCUGGCUUUGGGUUCGGGACAACCACUGGAAACGGUGGCUAAUACCGGAUGUGCCGAGAGGUAAAAGAGAAAUUGCCUGAAGAUGAGCUCGCGUCUGAUUAGCUAGUUGGUGAGGUAAAGGCUCACCAAGGCAGCGAUCAGUAGCUGGUCUGAGAGGAUGACCAGCCACACUGGGACUGAGACACGGCCCAGACUCCUACGGGAGGCAGCAGUGGGGAAUUUUCCGCAAUGGGCGAAAGCCUGACGGAGGAAUACCGCGUGAGGGAAGAAGGCUCUUGGGUUGUAAACCUCUUUUCUUAGGGAAGAACAAAAUGACGGUACCUAAGGAAUCAGCAUCGGCUAACUCCGUG
RNAcentral lists this ribosomal RNA (435 nucleotides) under uncultured bacterium. RNAcentral's name for it is "partial 16S ribosomal RNA". It matches the Rfam family "Bacterial small subunit ribosomal RNA", at positions 28 to 507 of the family's 1533-position model. The record is from RNAcentral.